UUGGAGGGCAAGUCUGGUGCCAGCAGCCGCGGUAAUUCCAGCUCCAAUAGCGUAUAUUAAAGUUGUUGCAGUUAAAAAGCUCGUAGUUGAAUUUCGGGGUCAGCAGGUUGGUCGUGCCAAUGGUAUGCACUGGCCUUGCUGAUUCCUCCCUCUUGAUGAGCCGUAAUGUCAUUAAUUUGGUGUUGCGGGGAAUCAGGACUGUUACUUUGAAAAAAUUAGAGUGUUUAAAGCAGGCAAGCGCUUGAAUACAUUAGCAUGGAAUAAUGAAAUAGGACGUUUGAUCCUAUUUUGUUGGUUUCUAGGAUUGACGUAAUGAUUAAUAGGGAUAGUUGGGGGCAUUAGUAUUCAAUUGUCAGAGGUGAAAUUCUUGGGUUUAUUGAAGACUAACUACUGCGAAAGCAUUUGCCAAGGAUGUUCUCAUUAAUCAAGAACGAAAGUUAGGGGAUCGAAGACGAUCAGAUACCGUCGUAGUCUUAACCAUAAACUAUGCCGACUAGGGAUCGGAUGAUGUUAAUUUUUUAAUGACUCAUUCGGCGCCUUACGGGAAAC
This 549-nucleotide ribosomal RNA is filed under the name uncultured Glomus. RNAcentral describes it as "SSU rRNA". It matches the Rfam family "Eukaryotic small subunit ribosomal RNA", at positions 548 to 1098 of the family's 1831-position model. The record is from RNAcentral. Lineage: Eukaryota; Fungi; Glomeromycota; Glomeromycetes; Glomerales; Glomeraceae.